AUUGAACGCUGGCGGCAGGCCUAACACAUGCAAGUCGAGCGGAUGAAGGGAGCUUGCUCCUGGAUUCAGCGGCGGACGGGUGAGUAAUGCCUAGGAAUCUGCCUGGUAGUGGGGGAUAACGUCCGGAAACGGGCGCUAAUACCGCAUACGUCCUGAGGGAGAAAGUGGGGGAUCUUCGGACCUCACGCUAUCAGAUGAGCCUAGGUCGGAUUAGCUAGUUGGUGGGGUAAAGGCCUACCAAGGCGACGAUCCGUAACUGGUCUGAGAGGAUGAUCAGUCACACUGGAACUGGGACACGGUCCAGACUCCUACGGGAGGCAGCAGUGGGGAAUAUUGGACAAUGGGCGAAAGCCUGAUCCAGCCAUGCCGAGUGUGUGAAGAAGGUCUUCGGAUUGUAAAGCACUUUAAGUUGGGAGGAAGGGCAGUAAGUUAAUACCUUGCUGUUUUGACGUUACCAACAGAAUAAGCACCGGCUAACUUCGUG
Molecule: ribosomal RNA, 484 nt
Filed under: uncultured bacterium
Lineage: Bacteria
Description: partial 16S ribosomal RNA
Rfam family: Bacterial small subunit ribosomal RNA
Source: RNAcentral